Molecule: small RNA, 606 nt
Filed under: Aeribacillus pallidus
Lineage: Bacteria; Bacillati; Bacillota; Bacilli; Caryophanales; Bacillaceae
Source: RNAcentral
CAGAAAACAUGAUGGAGUGGUGCAGUAUUCUAGUCAGCCCUCCGGUUCUGAAGGCGGGCCUAAAAAUCCGCUAAAGGGCACAUCGAUGAAGUUCCUGGUGUUGGCUUGAGGCGCCCAGCCUUGGGUUGAUGCUGGGGGUUAAGGUUAGAGGGCGAUCCACAAUGGCAUGUGGGCGUUGACCCUCUUUCCGCGGAGGCCCAUUUUAUGUGCAAAAUGGGUAUGAACCUGUCUACGCGCUUCAUAGUGCAAUGAGGCGCGGACAGCGUAGCCUGCCUUGAGUGGAGGCCGAGGGGAUUAUGGAAACAAGGAACUUUUUCAUAUGGCCAAUGAAAGAGUUUCUUAUGUGACAUAUGAAAUCGGCUCUGCAAAAGAGGCUAGGAACCGGCUAAAGGCUGUUUGAGGAAAACUCCUAGACUGUUCACAUGACAUAUAUAGAGGAUUGUAGUACGGACUAAGUGGCAAUCCAGUCUAGCGUUUGGCGACAGCGCUAAGUCAGGUUUAAAGGGAAACCGCCGGGGCGGCAACGCCUGGUACUUGACUGGGAAAACCUACUGGACCUAAGCCGUAAUGUUUACUCUAUAUAUGACCACUCCAUUUCGUUAUAUA